GUCCACGCCGUAAACGAUGUCGACUAGCCGUUGGCCCCUUAUGGGGGUUAGUGGCGCAGCCAACGCAUUAAGUCGACCGCCUGGGGAGUACGGCCGCAAGGUUAAAACUCAAAUGAAUUGACGGGGGCCCGCACAAGCGGUGGAGCAUGUGGUUUAAUUCGAUGCAACGCGAAGAACCUUACCUGCCCCUUGACAUCCUAAGAAUUUGGCGGAGACGCCUUAGUGCCUUCGGGAACUUAGAGACAGGUGCUGCAUGGCUGUCGU
This 264-nucleotide ribosomal RNA is filed under the name uncultured bacterium. Its description in RNAcentral is "partial 16S ribosomal RNA". It matches the Rfam family "Bacterial small subunit ribosomal RNA", at positions 793 to 1055 of the family's 1533-position model. The record is from RNAcentral.